AGGAAUAUUGGUCAAUGGGCGAGAGCCUGAACCAGCCAAGUAGCGUGAAGGAUGACUGCCCUAUGGGUUGUAAACUUCUUUUAUAAAGGAAUAAAGUCGGGUAUGGAUACCCGUUUGCAUGUACUUUAUGAAUAAGGAUCGGCUAACUCCGUGCCAGCAGCCGCGGUAAUACGGAGGAUCCGAGCGUUAUCCGGAUUUAUUGGGUUUAAAGGGAGCGUAGGUGGACAGUUAAGUCAGUUGUGAAAGUUUGCGGCUCAACCGUAAAAUUGCAGUUGAUACUGGCUGUCUUGAGUACAGUAGAGGUGGGCGGAAUUCGUGGUGUAGCGGUGAAAUGCUUAGAUAUCACGAAGAACUCCGAUUGCGAAGGCAGCUCACUGGACUGCAACUGACACUGAUGCUCGAAAGUGUGGGUAUCAAACAGGAUUAGAUACCCUGGUAGUCCACACAGUAAACGAUGAAUACUCGCUGUUUGCGAUAUACAGUAAGCGGCCAAGCGAAAGCAUUAAGUAUUCCACCUGGGGAGUACGCCGGCAACGGUGAAACUCAAAGGAAUUGACGGGGGCCCGCACAAGCGGAGGAACAUGUGGUUUAAUUCGAUGAUACGCGAGGAACCUUACCCGGGCUUAAAUUGCAUUUGAAUAUAUUGGAAACAGUAUAGUCGUAAGACAAAUGUGAAGGUGCUGCAUGGUUGUCGUCAGCUCGUGCCGUGAGGUGUCGGCUUAAGUGCCAUAACGAGCGCAACCCUUAUCUUUAGUUACUAACAGGUCAUGCUGAGGACUCUAGAGAGACUGCCGUCGUAAGAUGUGAGGAAGGUGGGGAUGACGUCAAAUCAGCACGGCCCUUACAUCCGGGGCGACACACGUGUUACAAUGGCGUGGACAAAGGGAGGCCACCUGGCGACAGGGAGCGAAUCCCCAAACCACGUCUCAGUUCGGAUCGGAGUCUGCAACCCGACUCCGUGAAGCUGGAUUCGCUAGUAAUCGCGCAUCAGCCAUGGCGCGGUGAAUACGUUCCCG
This 1016-nucleotide ribosomal RNA is filed under the name uncultured bacterium. Its description in RNAcentral is "bacterial SSU rRNA". It matches the Rfam family "Bacterial small subunit ribosomal RNA", at positions 357 to 1376 of the family's 1533-position model. The record is from RNAcentral.